GACGAACGCUGACGGCGUGCUUAACACAUGCAAGUCGAACGGUGAAGCGCCUUCCUUUUUGGUGGGUGUGGAUGAGUGGCGAACGGGUGAGUAACACGUGAGUAACCUGCCCCCUUCUUCUGGAUAACCGCAUGAAAGUGUGGCUAAUACGGGAUAUUCUGGGUCUGUCGCAUGAUGGGUCUGGGAAAGAUAUUGUUUCGGUGGGGGAUGGGCUCGCGGCCUAUCAGCUUGUUGGUGGGGUGAUGGCCUACCAAGGCGGUGACGGGUAGCCGGCCUGAGAGGGUGGACGGUCACACUGGGACUGAGACACGGCCCAGACUCCUACGGGAGGCAGCAGUGGGGAAUAUUGCACAAUGGGCGCAAGCCUGAUGCAGCGACGCCGCGUGAGGGAUGGAGGCCUUCGAGUUGUGAACCUCUUUCGCCAGUGAAGCAGGCCUGCCUCGUUUGUGGGUGGGUUGACGGUAGCUGGAUAAGAAGCGCCGGCUAACUACGUG
Molecule: ribosomal RNA, 494 nt
Filed under: uncultured bacterium
Lineage: Bacteria
Description: partial 16S ribosomal RNA
Rfam family: Bacterial small subunit ribosomal RNA
Source: RNAcentral